This 2422-nucleotide ribosomal RNA is filed under the name Phanodermatidae gen. sp. OVP-2021. RNAcentral describes it as "partial large subunit ribosomal RNA". It matches the Rfam family "Eukaryotic large subunit ribosomal RNA", at positions 23 to 2204 of the family's 3401-position model. Lineage: Eukaryota; Metazoa; Nematoda; Enoplea; Enoplida; Phanodermatidae. The record is from RNAcentral.
UUGACCCGNNNGAAUUAAGCAUAUUAUUAGGCGGAGGAAAAGAAACUAACAAGGAUUCCCUUAGUAACGGCGAGUGAACAGGGACGAGCCCAACACCGAAUCCCACGCCGUCUCGGCGUAGUGAACUGUGGUGUAUAGAAAGAUCUAUUCGGCCUUGCGGAACUCUCGAAGUCCCCAUGAGCGGGGCCAUUGCCCACAGCGGGUGCAAGGCCCAUACGAGAGAUCCCUUUGUCGAUGUGACCUUUCUUAGAGUCGGGUUGCUUGAGAGUGCAGCCCUAAUUCGUGGUAAACCCCACGAAAGGCUAAAUAUUAUCACGAGACCGAUAGCAAACAAGUACCGUGAGGGAAAGUUGCAAAGAACUUUGAAGAGAGAGUUUAAGAGGGCGUGAAACCGUUUAGAAGGAAACGGACGGAGCUGAAAAGUCGCCUGUCGGAUUCAAUAUGUUGAAGCUUGGCAACAAGUGGAGACGUAUGCAGUUUCGGCAGGUGAGCGUUGCGACCGAUUUUUCUACUGGCAAAGGUCCUUGGCAUGCCGGCUGGGUUCUCGGACCCAGUGUCCCUGUCUCGGUGCCUGUCCGGGUUAGAAAGAUCGUGAACCAGCCGUGCCCGACUGAUAGUCUCGAGGUGGACGCCCGAGUGUUGGAUAAACUGUUAGGUCCUGCUUGCAGAGCUUGACAACCUCCAACGUUUGCGGCGCUCUGGUACUCGAGUGGCACUGAUGGUCUGCAGCGUCCGCGUUGGCCACCCGUCCGACCCGUCUUGAAACACGGACCAAGGAGUCUAACAUGUGCGCAAGUCAUUGAACUGUAAAUUCAAAGGCGAAAUGAAAGUAAAAGUCAGUUUGGCUGGCUUAGGUGAGAUCCUUAGACUCCGGUCUGAGGCGCAUCACCGUCCCGUCCUGUGAGUAAUGUCUCAGGGGCGGAGAAAGAGCGUACACGUUGGGACCCGAAAGAUGGUGAACUUUGCUUGAGCAGGAUGAAGCCAGAGGAAACUCUGGUGGAGGUCCGCAGCGGUUCUGACGUGCAAAUCGAUCGUCAGACUUGAGUAAAGGGGCGAAAGACUAAUCGAACCAUCUAGUAGCUGGUUCCCUCCGAAGUUUCCCUCAGGAUAGCUGGUGCUCGGUUAACGCAGUUUUAUUCGGUAAAGCGAAUGAUUAGAGGUCUUGGGGACGAAACGUUCUCAACCUAUUCUCAAACUUUAAAUGGGUAAGAAGUCUGGCUUGCCUGAACGAAGCUCAGACAAUGAAUGCGAGUGCCCAGUGGGCCACUUUUGGUAAGCAGAACUGGCGCUGUGGGAUGAACCAAACGCUGAGUUAAGGCGCCCGACAUAGACGCUCAUGAGACCCCACAAAAGGUGUUGGUUGAUAUAGACAGCAGGACGGUGGCCAUGGAAGUCGGAAUCCGCUAAGGAAUGUGUAAAAACCCACCUGCCGAAUCAACUAGCCCUGAAAAUGGAUGGCGCUGGAGCGUCUGGCCCAUACUCGGCUGCUACGGACUGAAGCGUGCGUGCGCGUUCGCCAAGUCCUAGCAAGUAGGAGGGUCGCGGCGGUUGCGUUGAAGGUGUUCGGCGAGAGCCGACCUGGAGCAGCCGUCGGUGCAGAUCUUGGUGGUAGUAGCAAAUAUUCAAGUGAGAACCUUGAAGACUGAAGUGGAGAAGGGUUCCAUGUGAACAGCAGUUGCACAUGGGUCAGUCGAUCCUAAGGCAAAGGAAAGCUCCGUUGUGAAGCGGGCAGCUUGGUAUACUAAUGUAGGCGCAAGCUUGCAUUUGGCCGAAAGGGAAUCGCGUUAAUAUUCGCGAACCGGGACACGGAGAUAGGCACUUCCAAACGGGAGUGUCGAGCGCGGUAACGCAAACGAACUCGGAGACGUUUAUGCGAGCCCCGGGAAGAGUUCUCUUUUCUUCUUAAGGGACGGACUCCAUGGAAUCGGUUCACCCGGAGAUAUGGACGUUGUUCCCGCAAAACGCCACGGCUCUUGUGGCGUCCGGUGCGCUUGCAUAGGCCCUUGAAAAUCCGAGGGAGGCAAUUUGAUUUUCGUGCCCGAUCGUACCCAUAUCCGCAGCAGGUCUCCAAGGUGAACAGCCUCUAGUCGAUAGAAUAAUGUAGGUAAGGGAAGUCGGCAAAUUAGAUCCGUAACUUCGGGAAAAGGAUUGGCUCUAAGGGCUGGGCCGGUCGGGCUGACGCACGAAGUGGUCUGGGACCGUGUCGGGACUGGGCGAGGCACUCACGUGCCGAGCUCGGACCAGUACUGGGAUCUUCCCGUGGAAUGCAUCAGCUGUGCGGUCGUCGCUUGCGACGGUCCGCUUCGUCCGGCGAUGAACAGCUAACUUAGAACUGGCACGGACAAGGGGAAUCCGACUGUCUAAUUAAAACAAAGCAUUGCGAUAGCCGUCAGUCGGUACUGACGCAAUGUGAUUCUGCCCA